CCUACGGGGGGCUGCAGUGGGGAAUAUUGCACAAUGGGCGCAAGCCUGAUGCAGCCAUGCCGCGUGUGUGAAGAAGGCCUUAGGGUUGUAAAGCACUUUCAGCGAGGAGGAAGGCACCAUACUUAAUACGUGUGGUGAUUGACGUUACUCGCAGAAGAAGCACCGGCUAACUCCGUGCCAGCAGCCGCGGUAAUACGGAGGGUGCAAGCGUUAAUCGGAAUUACUGGGCGUAAAGCGCACGCAGGCGGUUUGUGGAGAGAGAUGUGAAAGCCAGGUGCAUAACGGGGGAACUGAGUUGGAAACUGGCAAGCUAGAGUCUUGUAGAGGGGGGUAGAAUUCCAGGUGUAGCGGUGAAAUGCGUAGAGAUCGUGAGGAAUACCGGUGGCGAAGGCGGCCCCCUGGACAAAGACUGACGCUCAGGUGCGAAGGCGUGGGGAGCAAACAGGAUUAGAUAGCCCUGUAGUC
RNAcentral lists this ribosomal RNA (465 nucleotides) under uncultured Rahnella sp. RNAcentral's name for it is "bacterial SSU rRNA". It matches the Rfam family "Bacterial small subunit ribosomal RNA", at positions 338 to 795 of the family's 1533-position model. The record is from RNAcentral. Lineage: Bacteria; Pseudomonadati; Pseudomonadota; Gammaproteobacteria; Enterobacterales; Yersiniaceae.